GAGGGACGAAGAGCCGUUCGUGCUAGCACGAAAAAGGCUUUAUGUAUUUGCGACCCGCCAAACAUGAGAAUGGAGCGAUUUACGAAGUAAAUCAGCGGAAUUCGAAUGUUUGAAGAAUUGCGAGAGCAGCGAAGCGGCGGAGCAAUUCGUAGGUAU
This 156-nucleotide small RNA is filed under the name uncultured Lachnospira sp. Its description in RNAcentral is "Clostridiales-1 RNA". It matches the Rfam family "Clostridiales-1 RNA". Lineage: Bacteria; Bacillati; Bacillota; Clostridia; Lachnospirales; Lachnospiraceae. The record is from RNAcentral.